Molecule: ribosomal RNA, 255 nt
Filed under: uncultured bacterium
Lineage: Bacteria
Description: partial 16S ribosomal RNA
Rfam family: Bacterial small subunit ribosomal RNA
Source: RNAcentral
UACGGGGGGAGCAAGCGUUGUUCGGAUUUACUGGGCGUAAAGGGCGCGUAGGCGGCCACCGCAAGUCGACUGUGAAAUCUCCGGGCUUAACCCGGAAAGGUCAGCCGAUACUGCGGGGCUAGAGUGCAGAAGGGGCAACUGGAAUUCUCGGUGUAGCGGUGAAAUGCGUAGGAUAUCGAGAGGAACACCUGCGGCGAAGGCGGGUUGCUGGGCUGACACUGACGCUGAGGCGCGAAAGCUAGGGGAGCGAACGGG